Long non-coding RNA from Anopheles gambiae (African malaria mosquito), 977 nucleotides. RefSeq lists it as uncharacterized. The record is from RefSeq and is a predicted model, not a curated record. The transcript has 2 exons. NCBI's taxonomy places the organism in Eukaryota, Metazoa, Arthropoda, Insecta, Diptera, Culicidae.
CGAGUCGAAAAAAUGAAUUCGAAAGUGAUAUUUUACAUACAAAUGAACACACAAAAUUCAUCAACUCGACGUCAAAACGACUCGAUUAUACUAUAAGAAUAGAAUACGCCUGAUUGUUUUUGUUUAGUGAAACGGUUACAAAAAUAUUGAAAAUUAUUUUUAUCUUAUUAUCCGUUUACGUUUAUACAUUACCUUUAGCUUCAAACUCAUCAAAAAUCAUAAAUUUUAAAGAUUACUUUUUUUUCAUUUGAAGCAACCCAGGGUACUUGGUGACCAAAAGAGUAAUAUCUGUAAGAAAAACUCUUCGAAAAAUUAACAAAAUUCUUCACCCAAUGGGAAUAAAAACCGCAAGCUCAUAUUGUUUUGGGAAAAGUAUCAGAUCGAACCCCUCUUUCGGCACGGUUGCUGCUUAGAACAUUAUACCUGCUUCUGCAAAACGUUUAGAAAUUAGCUGAAAUCGAGAUUGCUGCGCAAAGCACGAGUUUAAAGCACGAGCUAGAUGCUACAAACGAUUUCAAGCUUUCCAUGAGGUAGCAGUGAAUAGACUAGACUGCAGGUGAGCAAAUAGUUCUGAUUUUAUUCGCCAUAAUAAAAGGGGAUUUCUAUGGAGAUUGGCACACAUUUUGAAAAUAUCAGAGGCCUAUGUCCAAAUGAAAAUCAUCUCCUACAAACAUCAUUUAGUGAAAUGUUCCUUAUAUUGAUUAAAACUAAUUUUGCUUCAAACUUUUUACUGUGUAGCGUAACUAUUAUCCCAAUAUGAAAUGAAAGGAACUGUUAACGAUCUGAUUUUUGUCUCAUAUAAUUUCAUAUAAAAAAUGGGUUGCGGUCCAUGGUAUUCUUUUUAGUAACAGGUUGGCUGAUAAGUCCCCGGUCUAACAAAGAAAAACACAUUUUUUUUGUCAAAAUUCGUUUUUAUUAUUCAACAUAGUUCCCUUCAAGAGCGAUACAACGAUUAUAACGACCUUCCAAUUUUUUGA